Long non-coding RNA from Dermochelys coriacea (leatherback sea turtle), 3774 nucleotides. RefSeq lists it as uncharacterized. The transcript has 5 exons. The record is from RefSeq and is a predicted model, not a curated record. Lineage: Eukaryota; Metazoa; Chordata; Testudines; Dermochelyidae.
GGGCUAGGGCAGUUGGGGCUUGUAUAAAUCCAGGAAGUUGAGUACAAGAGGGGGCUGUAAGGAGGUGCUUUCCAAUCACCUCCUAAAGAAAAAUGAUGUUGGCUGUGGGCAAGGUGGUGUUGAAGGGGGAGACUACAGAGUCUGGCAAGAAACUGGGGGGAGUAGACACUGGGAGCAGAGGAAGCUUGGGCUUAUAAACUUAGAGGUUGGCUAGGAGUUACAAAAAUGAAGUUUUUUUUUUUUUAAAAAAGCCCAAGGAAACAGAGGUAGGGACUGAGAUUGAGUAGAUUAUGGUUGCUUGGCACAGAGUCCCUGAGUUGGAAAUUAGCGGAACCUAGACUAGUACGCAAGUCCAUCAGUCACUGGGUAGCACAGGGCCUGGAUUUGAACUGGCAGACUGCCUGGCGUGGUGUAGGGACUGCUUGUCCAGAGGGUCUUUGACAGCCCUAAAGGGGAGGACUAAACAGUGACCUAUCUAGAGGGCCAAGUCACAAGGAAGGAGCACCAUGAGCCCUAGAAAGAGAGAGAGGAGCACUGUGGCGUGAGCAACUGAUGGAAAGAGGUGCCAGACUGGGACAGUAAAACCAAAGCAAUAGCUCCAAUACUCUGAGAUGUCACAAGCCAUUUCUGUGUGAAUGAGUAUAAUACCAGAAAAAGAGGAGGCUAUCCUUAGCUUUAUCUCUCCAUGGUACAGUCAUUGAAAAUCAAAGGAAGGCUUAAAAUGGAGGAAAGCAAUUGCAUCAGAAAUAAGUUUAUUAAAGAUCUUCAGAAGCAGAAGAAUAUGUGAGGGAAAGACAUUUAGCUACACCUUGACAGAAGUUUUUCACGGAACUUCCUCCCAAAUGCCUUUCUGGGUAUGUUCCUUUAAUGUGACAGAGGCAAACAGCUGCAGCCCUAAGGAGCAAUUUUGUCGCUAGCUGUUCUUUCCGCCCUCUCUCUCUCUCUCUCUCGUUCUCAACUGACACCUUGACACUGACCAGAGCUGCCACUUGGUCUGCCAAAGUCACAAUGUGACCACCCAUCUGAAGAAACUUGUGGGGCCUGCUGUCUCUCCUCCCUUGCCCCCAGCCAUAAGUGUCUGAAUCUCAUCACCUCUCCCUGAAUGGCAAUCAGAGCCAGGGUCUCAGCACAGCUCCCAAGUGACUGUUCAAGGCUGACCAGCAAGACUCCUAGGGGGUACAAACCUGAGGAGUCAAGUGGAGUCAUGACCCCAAAAGCCAAUAUCUGUUCAGGACUCAGACCCUGAUGCUCGCUAGGUAGAAGGAGAGCUGCCCUUCAGCAACCAACCCAAUUCCUGAGCAGCAACCCAGACUAUGACUGAGAAGGUGGCUCCUCUAGAAGGAACCUCAGAAGUACCUGUAUCAACCAGAGCCCCAAGGACAGGACCUUAUCAGUAGAUGAGUGGCUGGAAAACCUGAUGGGGAGAAAAUGGGAAAACUCCAGGAUAGAAUGUCUUCUGGAUGUCACAAAAUGCAGAGAGGUGGAACUUGUAUUUGAAGGCUGAGAGGGAAUCCAACAAGGACCCUGUGGCCCAGAGAUCUUAUGUUUUACUUGCGCUAACCUGCUUAAGCCAAUGUCUUAAAAGUAUUCAAGGGAGACAGUUGCAGUGACAAAUGACAGGCAAUGCAGUACAACAAACCAACACCCAGCCAUGUUAUGCAGCCCUGGACAAUAUGGGCUACUAAGAACAACUCCUCCUUGCUGUAUCCCCUGCAGUACUGUUCCCAAGGCCAAGAUGUUUAGUCAUCUGUGACUUUAAGCCUUUGGCAUUGUGCUCCCUGUUUCACGUUGCUGUUUUGUUUCACUGAUGCUUUAAUGAAGGGUCUCUUUGUAGUUGACGUAUGAAACAAUAUACUAAAAGCCAUUGUUUCAUUUUUUUUCUUUUGAAGGUUCAUUUGUUUGUUACAUAAUUGUUGUUAAACUUUAAAAUUUCAUUCAUUAGGAGUUGACAGUUCAUUUUACACAGAAAAUAAUUGCUUGCACUAAUUCAUAAGGUUUUACAAACACACGUAGGCAAACACCGCACGUCCUCUGCCCAUAAAUCUGCCAUGGUGGUCUGCGAGCCCUCGGAGCACUGGAGUGGUGAAUUUUCCAUUUAUGAACUGAUGGUGGAGGGACAAAGUAUAGGCACAGGGAUCCCAUCAGUUGUCCAGUACAGUUUAGGAACCCCAUGUUUGCAAAGCCAUCAACCACUGGAGCAUUGCCAAGCUUUAUAACCCAGUACAACCAUAUCUUUUCCCCUGGCAUCACAUCUCCAUGACAAUGGUUGAUAGCAAGCCAAUUUGGCAUGGAGAUAUAGACUGGAAACAUUAUGGGGUGGCCAUCUUCCAAAUGGCAGUUGUGAUCUGCUUGCCCAUGUAUAGGGCACCAUAUGUUGGUAUACUGCCACUGUAGUUUUGGGAUUAGUUCAGCCCACAUUUCCAAAAAGUUUGCCUUCCCUAUCCUGAAAUUCUCUUGCCAUUGCUGGUCAUCUUGACUCUGCAGACCAAUUCUUUCCUAUCAAUCUGUGCUGGUUUCUGGAGCCCUGAAACAGCUCUGCACUCUGUGAAGCUGCUCUAGGAACCAGUUCUUUAUCAUCAAUUGUUUAGUGUCUUCCUCAUCUGUGUCCCAUUGUAUAGCAGCUGGAAGAGCUGCUGCUGUCACAUUUUGAUGCAGCAAGCAAAGCCCCAAGUCAAAUUCAUCCCAUGUUGAGUGAUAAAGUACCUAGAUACUGGUUGGGCUGUAGUAGAGGUUACCACUGUAAUGGCACAGAGCCUUGCAGCUGACCACAAUUCAAAAAUGGUGGUAGCCCACCUGUAAGGGAAGUAUGGGGUGGACACAGCUGGAUCAUGGGAUUUUUUUAAAAAAAUGUGAACUGGGCUGGUUUCUGCUAUACAUCCCACUGUGCACAGUGCAAAAAAAAAAAAAUCCAGAGUGCACACUGCUCAUCAGUAAAGUAAAGGAGUGUGAGAUGCCUUCUGACGAUACCAUACCUUCAGUUUUCAGCAAACUGCUGUUGUGUGUACACAGUGGUGUGCAUUGAUAGAGGGCACAUUUUCCUAUACGUGCUAUUACUGCAGCUUGUGUACUGUACGUUACCUGAUGCUCAGUAAAAUCUGUAGAUUAACUCCCUAAGCCUAUGCAGAUGAGCCCAUAGUCCCUGAUCUAAGGGCUCACAAUCUAUUCUAUCUUCUUAUGUGUGCCUUGCAUAAUGGGGCCCUGAUUGAGGCCCCUAGGUACUAUUGCCAUAUAAUAAAUAAUAGUAAUUAUAAUAAUUACAAAGUGAGAUGUUGGUGUUCAGAUUCUAGAUGGGAUAAGUGCCAAAAUAUCAUAUUGGGCUGUUCUCUUAACACUUUCCACAAUGAUGGAAGUCAAAGUGACAGAAAUUUCAUGAGAAAGUCUAUUACUAGAAGAUUUCAACCUGAUUUUGGACACUUUAAGGUUCAGAGAAUCUUUGAACAAACAUUUGAACUGGUACAAACUAAGUUCAGUUACCAAACUUUUGAGGUUCAUCCAUCCCUAAUCUUAACAUGGAAAAAAAAAACCCUCUCUCAUGCCAUUACUGGCAGUUUUCCAGUUGCACUUGAACUGAACAUCAUUGACUGUAUACAAGUUAUACCCUGAAAAAGGUUACUUGAGAGACUUCUAAGUUGACCAAAGAACAAAAACUAUGGUGUCUCUUUCAUGGAGACUAGCCCACUGGACAAUGCAUGGAAAUUUUCCAAAGCACCAAUGCGAGCUAGGCACCUAACUCACUUAGGUGUUUUUCAAAACUCCACCUCAAAUAACUUAGCA